UCCCUGGAGGACUAGUGGUUAGGCCUUGGUGCUCUCACCGCUGCGACCCAAGUACAAUUCCCGGCCAGGGAA
Non-coding RNA from Pangasianodon gigas (Mekong giant catfish), 72 nucleotides. Lineage: Eukaryota; Metazoa; Chordata; Actinopteri; Siluriformes; Pangasiidae. The record is from the annotation of a GenBank genome assembly.